This 23-nucleotide non-coding RNA is filed under the name Arabidopsis thaliana (thale cress). Lineage: Eukaryota; Viridiplantae; Streptophyta; Magnoliopsida; Brassicales; Brassicaceae. The record is from RNAcentral.
GGGGGUAGUCAGGCGGCCGCCUA